RNAcentral lists this transfer RNA (68 nucleotides) under Marmota monax (woodchuck). Its description in RNAcentral is "tRNA.Val". The record is from RNAcentral. Lineage: Eukaryota; Metazoa; Chordata; Mammalia; Rodentia; Sciuridae.
GCUGUAGGUCAAAGGUAGAGGGCUUAACUAACACGCAAGAGGCCCUGGGUUCAAUACCCAGCAUUGCA